RNAcentral lists this ribosomal RNA (515 nucleotides) under uncultured bacterium. RNAcentral's name for it is "bacterial SSU rRNA". It matches the Rfam family "Bacterial small subunit ribosomal RNA", at positions 28 to 589 of the family's 1533-position model. The record is from RNAcentral.
AGCGAACGCUGGCGGCAGGCCUAACACAUGCAAGUCGAACGGACCCUUCGGGGUUAGUGGCGGACGGGUGAGUAACACGUGGGAACGUGCCUUUAGGUUCGGAAUAGCUCCUGGAAACGGGUGGUAAUGCCGAAUGUGCCCUUCGGGGGAAAGAUUUAUCGCCUUUAGAGCGGCCCGCGUCUGAUUAGCUUGUUGGUGGGGUAAUGGCCCACCAAGGCUACGAUCAGUAGCUGGUCAGAGAGGAUGACCAGCCACAUUGGGACUGAGACACGGCCCAAACUCCUACGGGAGGCAGCAGAGGGGAAUCUUGCGCAAUGGGCGAAAGCCUGACGCAGCCAUGCCGCGUGUAUGAUGAAGGUCUUAGGAUUGUAAAAUACUUUCACCGGUGAAGAUAAUGACUGUAGCCGGAGAAGAAGCCCCGGCUAACUUCGUGCCAGCAGCCGCGGUAAUACGAAGGGGGCUAGCGUUGCUCGGAAUUACUGGGCGUAAAGGGAGCGUAGGCGGACAUUUAAGUC